Non-coding RNA from Schizosaccharomyces pombe (fission yeast), 483 nucleotides. Lineage: Eukaryota; Fungi; Ascomycota; Schizosaccharomycetes; Schizosaccharomycetales; Schizosaccharomycetaceae. The record is from the annotation of a GenBank genome assembly.
AUCAAUUAUAAGCGAAACUAAUUUAGAUUAUUCAUUAGGGGGAAUAGUGAAAAAGGUACGAUUCCAGGAGUAAAACGGAAAAAAGCCUAAUACGAGAUGAUACAUAUUUGGAACAACAUGAGAAUAGAAAAUAGAAAAAUAAAACCGCGUUAAAGGAGUUGUAGUGGAUAGAAAUUUUUGAAUAUCUCAAUCAUGCUAGACGUGUGCAAGCAUCAAAAAACUUUCGCGGAUUACCACCACUAAGGACAUGAUUUUGCAAAUAAUUAUCAACCUUUUCAAGGCAAACGUUGGAUGAUACCAAAUACUCCAUCAUGCGACGUGACUCAUCUAAAGUGUAAGGCUCCAUGUUAAGAAUAUGCACGGACUGUAAUGAAUCUAAUAUAGUCUCAUCAGAAGAUUUGUAAGGAUUUCUGUGAGCUACUCCAAGAGCUAUAUCCAAUGACGGGGUAGAAACACGCGGUUGGCUAGAAGUAGCAGCUAAAA